This 430-nucleotide ribosomal RNA is filed under the name Bacillota bacterium. RNAcentral describes it as "Firmicutes bacterium partial 16S ribosomal RNA". It matches the Rfam family "Bacterial small subunit ribosomal RNA", at positions 355 to 776 of the family's 1533-position model. Lineage: Bacteria; Bacillati; Bacillota. The record is from RNAcentral.
UGGGGAAUAUUGGACAAUGGGCGCAAGCCUGAUCCAGCCAUGCCGCGUGUGUGAAGAAGGCCUUUUGGUUGUAAAGCACUUUAAGCGAGGAGGAGGUUACUUGGAUUAAUACUCUAGGAUAGUGGACGUUACUCGCAGAAUAAGCACCGGCUAACUCUGUGCCAGCAGCCGCGGUAAUACAGAGGGUGCGAGCGUUAAUCGGAUUUACUGGGCGUAAAGCGUGCGUAGGCGGCUUCUUAAGUCGGAUGUGAAAUCCCUGAGCUUAACUUAGGAAUUGCAUUCGAUACUGGGAAGCUAGAGUAUGGGGAAGGAUGGUAGAAUUCCAGAUAUAGCGGUGAAUUGCGUAGAGAACUAGAGGAAUACCGAUCGCGAAGGCAGCCAUCUGGCCUAAUACUGACGCUGAAGUACGAAAGCAUGGGGAGCAAACACG